ACGAACGAACGAACGAACGCGUGAGUUUAAAUUGGAUUGUAUUACGUAAGCUUGUGAGAUUAAAGAAUCUCAGGACAAAUCCGUGCGUUGACUUUACAAGUUCCAAUUAAGUAAUGUAAGUAUAUAGUAUCUACACUCGAGAGGAAAACGAAUGGGGGAAUAAUAUGGGAUUCUGUCGAAACAAAGAAGUGCAGCGAGUGGAGAAGACCUCGAGAUUCCUGCGCGAGUUUUGAAAGAGAAAAUAAAGAAAUAGAAGAAAAAAGAGGAGAUUGAACGACGAAAAAAAAAGAAAAAGGAAAAAAGGAAAAAAUGAAAAACAUAGCAGCAGUAAGCAUAGCAUGCAAUGUGCAUCGUGACUGCAUCCCGAAGGCUGGAUCGGUCUCGCGACCGGCUCUCUGACCUUGUCUGGGUGUUCACCUCAACGUUCCUCUUUCCCUCUUAUUCUCCCUCUCUUUCUUAACCCAGCAGACGAGUUCGGUGCGUCUUUUAUUCAACGUAUAUUCGUUGUUCUAUAUACGUAUAUGUGCAUCGUAUACAGGGUGGCCCAUUUAAACGAGGGUUUCAUGUAAAUAUUUCUUUUUUUUCUUUAACAUUUCUUUAACGAGAAUUUGUUUUGAGUAUA
This 622-nucleotide long non-coding RNA is filed under the name Polistes fuscatus (common paper wasp). RNAcentral describes it as "uncharacterized LOC122518265, transcript variant X1". Lineage: Eukaryota; Metazoa; Arthropoda; Insecta; Hymenoptera; Vespidae. The record is from RNAcentral.